AAUAUUGCGCAAUGGGGGAAACCCUGACGCAGCGACGCCGCGUGAAGGAAGAAGGUCUUCGGAUUGUAAACUUCUUUGGUCGGGGACGAAGAAAUGACGGUACCCGAUAAAAAAGCCACGGCUAACUACGUGCCAGCAGCCGCGGUAAUACGUAGGUGGCAAGCGUUGUCCGGAAUUACUGGGUGUAAAGGGCGUGUAGGCGGGGAUGCAAGUCAGAUGUGAAACCCCACAGCUUAACUGUGGGCUUGCAUCUGAAACUGUAUUUCUUGAGUGUUGGAGAGGGAAGUGGAAUUCCUAGUGUAGCGGUGAAAUGCGUAGAGAUUAGGAGGAACACCAGUGGCGAAGGCGACUUCCUGGCCAAUAACUGACGCUGAGGCGCCAAAGCGUGGGGAGCAAACAGG
This 401-nucleotide ribosomal RNA is filed under the name uncultured bacterium. RNAcentral describes it as "partial 16S ribosomal RNA". It matches the Rfam family "Bacterial small subunit ribosomal RNA", at positions 360 to 776 of the family's 1533-position model. The record is from RNAcentral.